CUGGAGACUGCAUUUCCACAGAAUAAGUACAGCACAGGCAGCAGCCAUGCAAGCUUCCCACAGUGACCUGCCAAUGGCCGUCAUCCUUAAACUGGUGGGAAUAUUCUGAGGGAGGGAAAAAUAACUCAUUCAUGCCUUGUCCUUU
Molecule: unclassified non-coding RNA, 145 nt
Organism: Chelonoidis abingdonii (Abingdon island giant tortoise)
Lineage: Eukaryota; Metazoa; Chordata; Testudines; Testudinidae
Source: Ensembl